RNAcentral lists this ribosomal RNA (860 nucleotides) under Corynebacterium sp. Its description in RNAcentral is "bacterial SSU rRNA". It matches the Rfam family "Bacterial small subunit ribosomal RNA", at positions 593 to 1451 of the family's 1533-position model. Lineage: Bacteria; Bacillati; Actinomycetota; Actinomycetes; Mycobacteriales; Corynebacteriaceae. The record is from RNAcentral.
UGUGAAAUUCCGGGGCUUAACUCCGGGCGUGCAGGCGAUACGGGCUGACUUGAGUGCUGUAGGGGAGACUGGAAUUCCUGGUGUAGCGGUGAAAUGCGCAGAUAUCAGGAGGAACACCGAUGGCGAAGGCAGGUCUCUGGGCAGUUACUGACGCUGAGGAGCGAAAGCAUGGGUAGCGAACAGGAUUAGAUACCCUGGUAGUCCAUGCCGUAAACGGUGGGCGCUAGGUGUGAGUCCCUUCCACGGGGUUCGUGCCGUAGCUAACGCAUUAAGCGCCCCGCCUGGGGAGUACGGCCGCAAGGCUAAAACUCAAAGGAAUUGACGGGGGCCCGCACAAGCGGCGGAGCAUGUGGAUUAAUUCGAUGCAACGCGAAGAACCUUACCUGGGCUUGACAUAUACAGGAUUGCUGCAGAGAUGUAGUUUCCCUUGUGGCUUGUAUACAGGUGGUGCAUGGUUGUCGUCAGCUCGUGUCGUGAGAUGUUGGGUUAAGUCCCGCAACGAGCGCAACCCUUGUCUUAUGUUGCCAGCACGUUAUGGUGGGGACUCAUGAGAGACUGCCGGGGUCAACUCGGAGGAAGGUGGGGAUGACGUCAAAUCAUCAUGCCCCUUAUGUCCAGGGCUUCACACGUGCUACAAUGGUCGGUACAAUGCGCAGCGACACUGUGAGGUGGAGCGAAUCGCUGAAAGCCGGCCUUAGUUCGGAUUGGGGUCUGCAACUCGACCCCAUGAAGUUGGAGUCGCUAGUAAUCGCAGAUCAGCAAUGCUGCGGUGAAUACGUUCCCGGGCCUUGUACACACCGCCCGUCACGUCAUGAAAGUUGGUAACACCCGAAGCCAGUGGCUCAAACUCGUUAGGGAGC